UACGAGUGCCUCAAGCGUUAUCCGGAAUCAUUGGGCGUAAAGGAUGUGUAGGUGGUUGUGUUAGUCUUCUGUUAAAUUCUUCGGCUUAACCGGGGGCAUGCAGGGGAAACGGCACAGCUAGAGGAUGCGAGGGGUCUGCGGAACUCAUAGUGUAGCGGUGAAAUGCGUUGAUAUUAUGGGGAACACCAAAAGCGAAGGCAGCAGACUGGAGCACUCCUGACACUGAAACAUGAAAGCGUGGGUCGCGAAUGGG
RNAcentral lists this ribosomal RNA (253 nucleotides) under uncultured bacterium. Its description in RNAcentral is "partial 16S ribosomal RNA". It matches the Rfam family "Bacterial small subunit ribosomal RNA", at positions 524 to 776 of the family's 1533-position model. The record is from RNAcentral.